GUUUACAAAGAUAUGGGAGAGUACGAAAAAGCAAAAAAUUUUUAUGAACGAGCGAUGAAAACUGAAACAAAAACAUUUGGAACUGACCAUGUUAAUUUUGCGGUAACGUACAGCUAUCUGGGUUUGGUUUACAAAGAUAUGGGAGAGGACGAAAAA
This is a long non-coding RNA of Xenia sp. Carnegie-2017, 156 nucleotides long. RefSeq lists it as uncharacterized. The record is from RefSeq and is a predicted model, not a curated record. The transcript has 2 exons. NCBI's taxonomy places the organism in Eukaryota, Metazoa, Cnidaria, Anthozoa, Malacalcyonacea, Xeniidae.